This 337-nucleotide unclassified non-coding RNA is filed under the name soil metagenome. RNAcentral describes it as "partial contains 5.8S ribosomal RNA, internal transcribed spacer 2, and large subunit ribosomal RNA". The stretch from base 1 to 120 matches the Rfam family "5.8S ribosomal RNA", at positions 35 to 154 of the family's 154-position model. The record is from RNAcentral.
GAUGAAGAACGUAGCGAAAUGCGAUAAGUAGUGUGAAUUGCAGAAUUCAGUGAAUCAUCGAAUCUUUGAACGCACAUUGCGCCCCUUGGUAUUCCAUGGGGCAUGCCUGUUCGAGCGUCAUUUGUACCCUCAAGCUCUGCUUGGUGUUGGGUGUUUGUCCACUCCUUGGUGUCUGGACUCGCCUUAAAGCAAUUGGCAGCCAGUGUUUUGGUAUUGAAGCGCAGCACAUUUUGCGUCUCCAGCCUAGAACGCUUGCGUCCAGUAAGCCUUUUUCCACUUUUGACCUCGGAUCAGGUAGGGAUACCCGCUGAACUUAAGCAUAUCAAUAAGCGGAGGA